This 391-nucleotide ribosomal RNA is filed under the name Corynebacterium sp. HMSC073D01. Its description in RNAcentral is "bacterial SSU rRNA". It matches the Rfam family "Bacterial small subunit ribosomal RNA", at positions 85 to 491 of the family's 1533-position model. The record is from RNAcentral. Lineage: Bacteria; Bacillati; Actinomycetota; Actinomycetes; Mycobacteriales; Corynebacteriaceae.
GGGUGCUCGAGUGGCGAACGGGUGAGUAACACGUAAGUGAUCUGCCCUGCACUGGGGGAUAAGCUUGGGAAACUGGGUCUAAUACCCUAUAGGACCGCAUCGUGGUUGGUGUGGUGGAAAGGUUUUUCUGGUGUGGGAUGAGCUUGCGGCCUAUCAGCUUGUUGGUGGGGUAAUGGCCUACCAAGGCGGCGACGGGUAGCCGGCCUGAGAGGGUGUGCGGCCACAUUGGGACUGAGAUACGGCCCAGACUCCUACGGGAGGCAGCAGUGGGGAAUUUUGCACAAUGGGCGGAAGCCUGAUGCAGCGACGCCGUGUGGGGGAUGAAGGCCUUCGGGUUGUAAACUCCUUUCGUCAGGGACGAAGUUUUUUUGACGGUACCUGGAUAAGAAGC